Molecule: ribosomal RNA, 497 nt
Filed under: uncultured bacterium
Lineage: Bacteria
Description: partial 16S ribosomal RNA
Rfam family: Bacterial small subunit ribosomal RNA
Source: RNAcentral
GAUGAACGCUGGCGGCGUGCCUAAUACAUGCAAGUCGAGCGAACAGACGAGGAGCUUGCUCCUCUGACGUUAGCGGCGGACGGGUGAGUAACACGUGGAUAACCUACCUAUAAGACUGGGAUAACUUCGGGAAACCGGAGCUAAUACCGGAUAAUAUAUUGAACCGCAUGGUUCAAUAGUGAAAGACGGCUUUGCUGUCACUUAUAGAUGGAUCCGCGCCGCAUUAGCUAGUUGGUAAGGUAACGGCUUACCAAGGCAACGAUGCGUAGCCGACCUGAGAGGGGGAUCGGCCACACUGGAACGGAGACACGGUCCAGACUCCUACGGGAGGCAGCAGUAGGGAAUCUUCCGCAAUGGGCGAAAGCCUGACGGAGCAACGCCGCGUGUGUGAUGAAGGUCUUCGGAUCGUAAAACUCUGUUAUUGGGGAAGAACAAAUGUGUAAGUAACUAUGCACGUCUUGACGGUACCUGAUCAGGAAGCCACGGCUAACUACGUG